This 465-nucleotide ribosomal RNA is filed under the name Distoichometra bufonis. RNAcentral describes it as "bacterial SSU rRNA". It matches the Rfam family "Eukaryotic small subunit ribosomal RNA", at positions 60 to 468 of the family's 1831-position model. Lineage: Eukaryota; Metazoa; Platyhelminthes; Cestoda; Cyclophyllidea; Nematotaeniidae. The record is from RNAcentral.
UCAGUGCAGGCCUUCAUACGGUGAAACCGCGAAUGGCUCAUUAAAUCAGCUAUGGUUUAUUGGAUCAUACCCGUUAAAUGGAUAACUGUAAUAACUCUAGAGCUAAUACAUGCCUCAAUGCCCUGACCUCGCUGGCUUUAUGAGCUGGUGAGGGAUGGGUGCACUUAUUAGAUCAGAAGCCAACCGAUUGUGCGUUAGUAGCUGUGAAAACGGCCGCUACGUGCGUUGAAAUACUUCUGGUGACUCUGGAUAAUUGUUACAGAUCGCAGUCGGCCUUGAGUCGGCGACGGGUCCUUCAAAUGUCUGCCCUAUCAACUUUCGAUGGUAGGUGACCUGCCUACCAUGGUUCUUACGGGUAACGGGGAAUCAGGGUUCGAUUCCGGAGAGGGAGCCUGAGAAACGGCUACCACUUCCAAGGGAGGCAGCAGGCGCGCAAAUUACCCAAUCCCAGUACGGGGAGGUGGU